CUGGCUGUUCCAUAUCACCCCUGAACCUGCCUGUUCUCAUUGAUUGUGGAAAGGAAGUAGGGUAGAGCUUGGUUACUACUUAGAUGGAAGAUUACCUGGGAUCUCCAGGUAGCGGUAGGA
This 120-nucleotide ribosomal RNA is filed under the name Pogona vitticeps (central bearded dragon). The record is from RNAcentral. Lineage: Eukaryota; Metazoa; Chordata; Lepidosauria; Squamata; Agamidae.